Molecule: long non-coding RNA, 1352 nt
Organism: Magallana angulata
Lineage: Eukaryota; Metazoa; Mollusca; Bivalvia; Ostreida; Ostreidae
Exons: 2
Source: RefSeq, a predicted model, not a curated record
GUGUGCUUAUCUUGUGUACAACGUUAACUUUUAUUUCUGUUAUGUCUUGUGCAUAUCUCAUGUAUUUUGUACGAAAGAUUUUGUGUACGACUUGUUUGUUUAUGGGUGGAAUACUACAUAUUUCUAAACGCUCGAUUACUACAGUUUUUUGUAAGCCUUGAAUUCCACUGUUUUACCAUGUGCUUCAAGUAUGGUGCGCCAUUUCGUCGACAAACAUUACAUUUUGAACUUGAUAAUUACGUACUGUCAGUUUAAUAAAGUCAAUUGAUUACGGUUUUAACUCAUUAUUUUCUAUUCAAUUAAUGAAUUUAUUUAUAGAAUAUAUUUAAGAUAUGUUGCAUUACUUAAUUCUAUGUGAAAGGUAUAUUUAAUUGUUUUUCUAUGGAAACCAAUACCUGUCAUUUUUAUUUGUAUUUUGUUUAUUACAGAUUCUUAUCGCAUUGCAGUUAUCAGUCAAUUAAAAUCUUAAAUGCUUACUUUAUGUCACAUUUUGCACGAGAAUACUUUAAUUACAGGGGCUUGGUUGUUGGAUAGUGAAUUUCCUAAUUAUUUGUUCCCGAAGAAAAAAUGGAUUAAAAUUGGUAAUCUUAUGUGUAUUUCUGUGUAUUGCAAUAAAUAAAUUCACCGAAACCCCCCGUUUCAAUCAUGUUAAAAAAGUGUAUUCAAUGUACAUUAAAAAAAGUAAAGGGACGACACUCGCCAUUUUGGAUUUAUAGGGGGUCCUCAUUUCAAGCUAUGUUUUAAACAAGUUCUUCCGUUUCUCCAACGAUUUCUGACGAUAUAUAGGUUGUAAAAUGUUAAAAUUACCUAUUCCUAUCGUCUGACUACAUCUGUACGCUGCAUAAUAAACACAUCUUUCCGAAAUGUACUAGAUACUUGCCAAACUUAUCGAAAGCGAGGCGUAGUGAGUCAGUAACUAACCUAAUAAGUAAUAGUAUGACGUGCCAUAAGGGUAAUCAGUUGUCGUUGUGAUUGAUCUAGCGUUGGUGUGUGAUUUGUGCUUUGAAUUCAUUUGUCUUUAUAUGUAUAUUUUAGUUUCUACCGUCGAUGAGAGAUUUAUUGGCCAAUAAAUACAUUUCCGAAUAUUUUGUUUUAUUAUAAUUCUAUGUUAAUUUCUGAAAGCAAGUUUUCGAGAUUGUUUGUGCAUAUAUACGUCUGUCUGUCGGUGUAUACACUUGUCUGUACAUGUGCUUUUUUAUCUUCGUUAUGUGACUGUGUCUAUAUUAUACUUAUAUUCUAAAUCUCAAAUGAAGUGAAUAUAUGAUGUGUAUGCACUGUAAAACUAAAUAUAUAAGAUGAUGUGAAUAACUUGUACAUGAAAGUUCGAAUAAAAAAAAAAUACUGAAAUCUGA